GCUUUCUCAAGUGGCUUAGUGUCUCCACUCAGGGGUGGUGGAGCUCUUCUUCUCACUGCUUCUUCUCAUUUUUUUCAUGCUCUGGCCUAAUGUCUUGGUGGUAUUAGCCUAGCACAACUUCAGUUGCACUGCAGGUUCUUCAUAAAAUUGAAACACUGUUUCCAGAUUUGGAUUUUCUUCUGCUCUGCCAUGGGUUGUUCACAUUCUCUCAAGGUUGUUACUACUGUUUUACCUUUUUCUACUUGAUAAUUUUGGAAACCGGUAUGUGUGGGGAGACAAGGAUUGAUGGUGGUCUGGAUGUAAGCACUGAAGAACCACAGUAGUGUGAUGACCUUACAGAUUUGAUUCUAGUGAAGGAAUGGACUUUAAAAUCUUACCACUGUCAUUGGCCUUGAGAAACUUCUAAGUAAGUUAAACAGGCUUGAUGGAGGCCCUACAGUGACUAUUCAUUGGCUGAGCCUUUGGAUUAUCUUGGGAGGACCCUGAAAGAAUGACCUGGCCGGAAGAUUGUCCCAUCCUGCAUGAGGAGGGAAGAAUGAGCCUCACUCUACACCCAGAAUGCCAACUACAUUUUCAUCCAGUCCUCAAAAAAUAUCAUGCGCACCCAGAUUCUCCUGGUCAGACCAACACUGUGGAAACCCACUGGAUGCAUUCAGAGGGAUCACUGAUAAUGAAGAAUGAGAUGCCGUCAUCCAUCUGUAGGAAGAUGCUGCGUGUGCCAUAGAACCCAAAAGUCAUCUAUUGCAAGAGAGAAUCGAUUCUCCCAAGUAAACGGGGCCCUAUUAGUUUAAAAACUAAUGCAGCACAGAGAGAAAUCAGGUUCCUCAGACAAUGUUGAUUCUGUUUCCUUUUGAACCAUUAACAGCCUCACUUAAAGCCAUGUAUUGAAAGCUGCGACUUAACGUUAACCACAGUUUCUAAUGCAUUAAACAAAUGGCAAGGAUGACUGUAGGUCAUAGCCCCCUCCCUUCACACAUUAUACGCAAAUGCUUAUCUACUGGGUAUUUAAAGGAGAAAAGUUACAUCUAAACUCACUCCAUAAUGUAUGCUUUCAGCGUGGGAUGCUAAGCAAGUUCUGAUUUUGCGAGCUCAGAGUCACGCUAAAUGCCGGGAAUACAGGUUUCUUCUCAGAAAGGGCGGGCGGCUUUGGCUAAUGUCCUGGGGGAUGUCUUCAAAAUGCAAAGUGUGUGUCUGACCAUGGCCAUGGCAGUCUCAAGUUCCUUUGCCAAGGACUUUGGGGAAAUUCUUCCUCAGGAAACUCACAUAGCGGGAAGAGCAAGAGAGUCACAAAUAGUGCUUAAACCUGGGGUCUAUACCUUUUAACUCUUCAAACAGACAACAGCAGUAAAAAGAGCUCUGCUGCCAGUCUUCAGAGUCUUAACUGAGUUGGAGGCGAACUAUUGUGAAGUAUAAUGUAGUUAGUGACUCUGAAGUUAGUCCACAGAAAGCCAUUCUUUUUAAAUGGACCUACACAACAAUUGCCCCGCACACAAACUGCACAUGCAAUAUUCAAAGCCACUGCUAGGUGCGUUGCUGAGUGCAGAGAGCUGUGCUCCCAGAACCAUCAAGUCAACACGCCAGCUGCUCAGCAUUAUUUACAAUAUAUUGGCUUCACCACUGACCUAAAGAGCUGAAGAAAAUAACAGGCCAUAUUUUCAGCUUGGUAAAAGCCUGCAGUGGGGAGCCCUUUCACAACAAUUACAAGCAUUUGCUCGGAAUGCAUUUGCUGAUUUAACAAACUGGAGAGGACAAAUGUUUAACAUGCUGUCGUGAGGCUGUUCAGUCGCUUUUCUUGGUAUCCGUUGAUCUGAGAUAAUGUGUUCUUGCCCAAUCAUGCUACAAAGAAGCAGCGGAAAUAAAUAAAUAAAUAGAUGUAAUGCGAUGCGUUCCCACAAUAGCUGAGCUGCUGACGGCCCCUGACAGAUGGAAAGAAAAAAAAAAAAAAGUCAAUAUGAUGUCUGAGACAGCCCAGGCUCGGCACUGCAGAAUAAAUUACAUGAUUCGCCGAAUGCUUGGGCCUCGCUCAGACAUUCAAAAAAAAAAAAAAUUGGAAAGAUAAAAGCUUGCAUUGGCUUCAGAUGAUAUUUACUGCUUGAUGGAUUUACUAGCAGCACCAGUACAGUCGUACUGUAUUGAAUUAUUGGCCUCUAUUUAGCUGUGUGUCUGUCGGCGCUCGAGUGUCCAUUUAAGCAUAAGUGAGCUGGAGACCUGCCAAGCCCCUUUGAGGCUCCGGGUGCAGAGAAAGACGCAGGCUAAUGGCCACCAGCUUGAAUAACAGGGAGUGUAAGGACAUUGGGGGAGGCAACAAAGCCCAGCUACAAAGUACUUGCUUAUCAAUAUUAAUGCCAAAAUAAAUAUUAAUGGAGGCUGCCCGGCAUAGCA
RNAcentral lists this long non-coding RNA (2382 nucleotides) under Mus musculus (house mouse). Its description in RNAcentral is "Redrum, erythroid developmental long intergenic non- protein coding transcript". The record is from RNAcentral. Lineage: Eukaryota; Metazoa; Chordata; Mammalia; Rodentia; Muridae.